AUGCAUCCACUGAUAGACCUGAAGCAAAAUGCAGUGGCUUCUUGGUUUGCACAGCGAUGCAAGAUCAAAUUCCUUUCUUUUUCAAUCUGCUUUUUUUUUGUGGCAGCUUGGAUUGAGUUGGGGAAGACAGUA
Molecule: small nucleolar RNA, 132 nt
Organism: Polyodon spathula (Mississippi paddlefish)
Lineage: Eukaryota; Metazoa; Chordata; Actinopteri; Acipenseriformes; Polyodontidae
Product: small nucleolar RNA SNORA31
Exons: 1
Source: RefSeq, a predicted model, not a curated record